Molecule: unclassified non-coding RNA, 300 nt
Filed under: uncultured fungus
Lineage: Eukaryota; Fungi
Description: partial contains small subunit ribosomal RNA, internal transcribed spacer 1, and 5.8S ribosomal RNA
Rfam family: Eukaryotic small subunit ribosomal RNA (bases 1-73)
Source: RNAcentral
UCAAACUUGGUCAUUUAGAGGAAGUAAAAGUCGUAACAAGGUUUCCGUAGGUGAACCUGCGGAAGGAUCAUUACCGAGUGUUGGGACCCUCCGUCCCGUACUCCCACCCCAUGUUAACCUCAUCCCGUUGCUUUGGCGGACCGGUGGUUCUUGACCGCCGCCGGCUCUACGCUGGAGAGCGUCUGCCGGAGGACCCUUAAACCCUAGUUGAACUUUGUGGCAUCCGAGUCUAGCAGCAAUUGAGAUUGAAAAACUUUUAACAACGGAUCUCUUGGUUCUGGCAUCGAUGAAGAACGCAGC